GGUGACAGGUGGUGCAUGGUUGUCGUCAGCUCGUGUCGUGAGAUGUUGGGUUAAGUCCCGCAACGAGCGCAACCCUUGCCUUUAGUUGCCAGCAUUAAGUUGGGCACUCUAGAGGGACUGCCGAGGAUAACUCGGAGGAAGGUGGGGAUGACGUCAAAUCAUCAUGCCCCUUAUGCUUAGGGCUACACACGUGCUACAAUGGGUGGUACAGAGGGUUGCCAAGCCGUGAGGUGGAGCUAAUCCCUUAAAGCCAUUCUCAGUUCGGAUUGUAGGCUGAAACUCGCCUACAUGAAGCUGGAGUUACUAGUAAUCGCAGAUCAGAAUGCUGCGGUGAAUGCGUUCCCGGGUCUUGUACACACCGCCCGUCACACCAUGGGAGUUGGGGGCGCCCGAAGCCGGUUAGCUAACCUUUUAGGAAGCGGCCGUCGAAGGUGAAACCAAUGACUGGGGUGAAGUCGUAACAAGGUAGCCGUAUCGGAAGGUGCGGCUGGAUCACCUCCUUU
Molecule: ribosomal RNA, 503 nt
Filed under: Vibrio cholerae
Lineage: Bacteria; Pseudomonadati; Pseudomonadota; Gammaproteobacteria; Vibrionales; Vibrionaceae
Description: bacterial SSU rRNA
Rfam family: Bacterial small subunit ribosomal RNA
Source: RNAcentral